Molecule: ribosomal RNA, 282 nt
Filed under: Triticum aestivum (bread wheat)
Lineage: Eukaryota; Viridiplantae; Streptophyta; Magnoliopsida; Poales; Poaceae
Description: partial small subunit ribosomal RNA
Source: RNAcentral
UCAUAUUUGCAGGUAAGGUCUCUGACUCUCGAUGUUAGAGUCUGGUAGCCAUCUGUAACCAAUCUCUUUCAAUCAUUAGGCUACAUGUUUGUGAACAGAGUUUGGGAAGAAACAUUACCUUCAUCAAACAAUGGUACUAAUGGAUCACAUGCAGCACAAUACUUCACCACCAGUAAGCCUAAACACUCGGAUCCUUUCUCUGCCAAAGAGAAGUUUAUUCAUGCCAAGGUACUUGCGAGUUAUCCUUUUGCAAUUGCUUCUCUGCACUUCUCCCAUUAUUAG